CGGAGGGGUAACUUAAGUACUUUGGGGGCUGGCAGAUUUUUGGAGGGUCACGCACUCCCGGAUCGGUUUUCAUCUGAAGCUUUAGCAGAGAAAGACACCCGAUCCUGGGGUUUUUCCCCUUCCCUUCCCCCCGCCUUUUGUGGAUGAGUUAUCUACAACGUAGCAUCUUUUCAGAAAGCCUGCCUUCUCAUAGGCAUGCCAGAGUAAAGCCACACUCCACUUUCCAUAUUGAGGUUUUGAUUUUGAAAUGGAUUUGCCUUAAAAUUUGGGGUAAUUGGAUCAUAUGUAAAGUCCCCAGCCCCACAACGUACGUUCAGUGACCAGCCAGGUCUCAUAUCUUGGAACUCAACCUGCAGGUUCUUUUGCUUACGUCGGGAGUUUGGUGUUUCCAAGAGAUUUAAGAACUUUUUUUUUUUUCCCCCUUUUAUUGGGUCUAGAUAAACCCAGGAAUAUAUAUUAUUUUACUUCCUUCCAGAAAGAUUGCCGAAUCCAAAAAUGAGGGAUCAGAGUUGUGUGGAAUAUACUGAUAUUUUAAUUCAUUCUUUUGCUAAAUAUUUACUGAGCACCUACUAUGUGCUGGGUACUGUUCUUUGGGCUGGAGGCACAGGGGAGAACAAGAUGGAUAAUCCCUGCCCUCGUAAUGAUUAUCGUCUUCUGUGUGGGAGACAUGGGACAUGCAGAUACAGACUCCAGUGUCCUCUAAAGAAAGCAGGGCGAAGGGGAGACAGAGGGAUGAUCUGGUAUAAGUAAGGAGAGAGGAAGUGAUGGGUCAGAGAAGAGCCCUUCGGGGUGGACUGCUGGCACAGAAGCCUGAAGGAUGGGAGGAAAGGAACUGGGGGAAGUGGUGUUCAAGUAGCAGGGUGUGCAAAGGCCCUGGGGUUGAAAAGGCUGAGUGUGUUGGAGGAGCAGAAAAGAGGGCGCAUGGCCAGGGUGCUGAGAUGAGGGCGGGGAGGCAGAUGUGCCCCCCACCCCCGUCCAUGGCAUCCAGACUGAGUGCUAUGAGAACCAAGCAAGCGUGUUAAAGUUGGCUCGUGAGUGUGUCAGAAGCUGAACUGUGUCCGAGGGGCCCACUGACCCAUCCCUGCCUGUCUCUGUCUCCACCUCUGUGUUCCAAGGGGGUUCCGGUGAGACCAUUCCCACUGGAGUCAGCCCUCGCCCAUGCCGACUUUCUGCAUGACUUCACUGGCAUGAGCAACACUAACUCUUACAUAAGGGGGAGAAGAAGCUGGUCCUUGGCUGAAGUUUCCUCUUGCUUUUCCAGCAAAUACUACAAAGGGUCUCUGUUCAGCCCCGCCUGGGGUGCUGUGAGCAGAGCUGAUUGUUGUCAGGCAAGCCCUGGAAAGCCGGCCACCCCUGAUGGAGAAGGUGCUUUCCCUUCAGAAGGCCCUGCUCUGAGCGGCCCCUCUUCCCCGACCCACUCCUUCCAAGACGCAGUACUCGGCAUAGGACGCCCACCUGCCCGCCUUGCGCGGGGCUGACCUGGACAUCCCUGCCCGGGGCUCACACCCCUGCAGGACUGGGGGUAGAUGGAGCCAAAGAGGAUGUCCCCCAGGCUCUACAGACUCAGCAACUUGGGGUGGAGAAUGAGAGUGGAUCAGUCAUUGGAUUGAUGAGGAAACUGGCUCCCUGAACGGCUGAGUCACUCUCCCCAGGCCCCACGGGCAGUCAGUGGUGGAGCUGAAU
Molecule: long non-coding RNA, 1683 nt
Organism: Bos taurus (domestic cattle)
Lineage: Eukaryota; Metazoa; Chordata; Mammalia; Artiodactyla; Bovidae
Source: Ensembl